Molecule: ribosomal RNA, 253 nt
Filed under: uncultured bacterium
Lineage: Bacteria
Description: partial 16S ribosomal RNA
Rfam family: Bacterial small subunit ribosomal RNA
Source: RNAcentral
UACGAAGGGGGCGAGCGUUGUUCGGAUUUACUGGGCGUAAAGCGUGCGCAGGCGGUAAUGUAAGACAGAUGUGAAAUCCCCGGGCUUAACCUGGGACCUGCAUUUGUGACUGCAUUGCUGGAGUGCGGCAGAGGGGGAUGGAAUUCCGCGUGUAGCAGUGAAAUGCGUAGAUAUGCGGAGGAACACCGAUGGCGAAGGCAAUCCCCUGGGCCUGCACUGACGCUCAUGCACGAAAGCGUGGGGAGCAAACAGG